AGUGAACGCUGGCGGUAGGCCUAACACAUGCAAGUCGAACGGCAGCACAGUAAGAGCUUGCUCUUACGGGUGGCGAGUGGCGGACGGGUGAGGAAUACAUCGGAAUCUACUUUUUCGUGGGGGAUAACGUAGGGAAACUUACGCUAAUACCGCAUACGACCUACGGGUGAAAGCAGGGGAUCUUCGGACCUUGCGCGAUUGAAUGAGCCGAUGUCGGAUUAGCUAGUUGGCGGGGUAAAGGCCCACCAAGGCGACGAUCCGUAGCUGGUCUGAGAGGAUGAUCGGCCACACUGGAACUGGGACACGGUCCAGACCCCUACGGGAGGCAGCAGUGGGAAAUUUUGGACAAUGGGCGCAAGCCUGAUCCAGCCAGACCGCGUGGGUGAAGAAGGCCUUCGGGUUGUAAAGCCCUUUUGUUGGGAAAGAAAAGCAGCAGGUUAAUACCCCGCUGUUCUGACGGUACCCAAAGAAUAAGCACCGGCUAACUUCGU
RNAcentral lists this ribosomal RNA (491 nucleotides) under uncultured bacterium. RNAcentral describes it as "partial 16S ribosomal RNA". It matches the Rfam family "Bacterial small subunit ribosomal RNA", at positions 29 to 506 of the family's 1533-position model. The record is from RNAcentral.